GUGCAUGCUCAUAGCGUAUAUUAAGUUGCUGCAGUUAAAAAGCUCGUAGUUGAACUUUGGGCCUGGUUGGCCGGUCCGAUUUUUUCGUGUACUGGUUUCCAACCGGGCCUUUCCUUCUGGCUAACCUUGGGUCCUUGUGGCCCUUGGCGAACCAGGACUUUUACUUUGAAAAAAUUAGAGUGUUCAAAGCAGGCGUAUUGCUCGAAUAUAUUAGCAUGGAAUAAUAGAAUAGGACGUUUGGUUCUAUUUUGUUGGUUUCUAGGACCAUCGUAAUGAUUAAUAGGGACGGUCGGGGGCAUCAGUAUUCAAUCGUCAGAGGUGAAAUUCUUGGAUUUAUUGAAGACUAACUACUGCGAAAGCAUUUGCCAAGGACGUUUUCAUUAAUCAAGAACGAAAGUUAGGGGAUCGAAGACGUA
RNAcentral lists this ribosomal RNA (416 nucleotides) under uncultured Torulaspora. Its description in RNAcentral is "SSU rRNA". It matches the Rfam family "Eukaryotic small subunit ribosomal RNA", at positions 607 to 1008 of the family's 1831-position model. The record is from RNAcentral. Lineage: Eukaryota; Fungi; Ascomycota; Saccharomycetes; Saccharomycetales; Saccharomycetaceae.